Molecule: ribosomal RNA, 381 nt
Filed under: uncultured soil bacterium
Lineage: Bacteria
Description: bacterial SSU rRNA
Rfam family: Bacterial small subunit ribosomal RNA
Source: RNAcentral
AGAUUGAACGCUGGCGGCAGGCCUAACACACGCAAGUCGAGCGGCAGCACGGGUACUUGUACCUGGUGGCGAGCGGCGGACGGGUGAGUAAUGCCUAGGAAUCUGCCUGAUAGUGGGGGAUAACGCUCGGAAACGGACGCUAAUACCGCAUACGUCCUACGGGAGAAAGCAGGGGACCUUCGGGCCUUGCGCUAUCAGAUGAGCCUAGGUCGGAUUAGCUAGUUGGUGGGGUAAUGGCUCACCAAGGCGACGAUCCGUAACUGGUCUGAGAGGAUGAUCAGUCACACUGGAACUGAGACACGGUCCAGACUCCUACGGGAGGCAGCAGUGGGGAAUAUUGGACAAUGGGCGAAAGCCUGAUCCAGCCAUGCCGCGUGUGUG